This 377-nucleotide ribosomal RNA is filed under the name uncultured Gemmatimonadota bacterium. Its description in RNAcentral is "bacterial SSU rRNA". It matches the Rfam family "Bacterial small subunit ribosomal RNA", at positions 521 to 896 of the family's 1533-position model. The record is from RNAcentral. Lineage: Bacteria; Pseudomonadati; Gemmatimonadota.
UAAUACGGGGGGUGCAAGCGUUGUCCGGAUUCACUGGGCGUAAAGCGCGCGUAGGCGGUUCUGUAAGUCAUCUGUGAAAUCCCGGGGCUCAACUCCGGGGCUGCAGGUGAUACUGCAGAGCUAGAGCUCGGUAGAGGCAAGUGGAAUUCCCGGUGUAGCGGUGGAAUGCGUAGAUAUCGGGAAGAACACCAGUGGCGAAGGCGGCUUGCUGGGCCGAUGCUGACGCUGAGGCGCGAAAGCGUGGGGAGCAAACAGGAUUAGAUACCCUGGUAGUCCACGCCGUAAACGAUGGGUACUAGGCGUCGGGGGGAGCGACCCCUUCGGUGCCGUCGCUAACGCUGUAAGUACCCCGCCUGGGGAGUACGGCCGCAAGGCUG